Mesocricetus auratus (golden hamster) is the source of this 407-nucleotide long non-coding RNA. RefSeq lists it as uncharacterized. Lineage: Eukaryota; Metazoa; Chordata; Mammalia; Rodentia; Cricetidae. The record is from RefSeq and is a predicted model, not a curated record. The transcript has 4 exons.
GACUCAUCGUAGCAGCUCAGAGUACCUGUUCCAUCAUAAAUGGUGCUUAAAUUUUGGCGUAUAGAAGAGCUUUAGGAGGAGUUUCAGAAAAUUUCUGAGUAUUAGGGAGCAGGAGCUCAGAAUGUGUGCAUCCAGCCAUCUGAGAUCAUCUGAGGUGUUCUCUACAGAGAAAGUGUCUGUGAUCUCUGGCUGGGAGAGAGUCACCUGUCCGGUAUUGUACUUCCUACCCUCUUCCUGGCACCAUUGUUACACGUGUCAGUCCCCACUAGAAGCUAUCCAGCAACAGGGGUUUUUCUCUGCUUCCGUUUUCCUUUUUUGUUGAAGAAAGGAUAAGAGCCACGGCAAGUGAAGAAGGAGUUUCUUUCCAGCUUGAUCCUACAUCUGUUUAGCCCCAAAUAAACACACAG